Molecule: non-coding RNA, 226 nt
Organism: Cyanistes caeruleus (blue tit)
Lineage: Eukaryota; Metazoa; Chordata; Aves; Passeriformes; Paridae
Source: RefSeq, a predicted model, not a curated record
GUCCAAACUGGUCCGAACUGGGCGGCAGGACCGGCUGUACUUCGUGAUGGAAUACGUCACCGGCGGCGACCUGAUGUACCACAUCCAGCAGGUCGGGAAGUUCAAGGAGCCGCACGCGGCUUUUUACGCUGCUGAAAUCGCCAUCGGCCUCUUCUUCCUGCACAACCAAGGGAUCAUCUACAGGGAUCUGAAGCUGGAUAACGUCAGGCUGGACCAAAAAAAAUCC